This 82-nucleotide transfer RNA is filed under the name Candidatus Adamsella sp. RNAcentral describes it as "tRNA-Leu". It matches the Rfam family "tRNA". Rfam says of the family: Transfer RNA (tRNA) molecules are approximately 80 nucleotides in length. Their secondary structure includes four short double-helical elements and three loops (D, anti-codon, and T loops). The record is from RNAcentral. Lineage: Bacteria; Bacillati.
GGGUGAUUGGCGAAAUUGGUAGACGCACUAGACUUAGGAUCUAGCGGGUACCCCCGUGAGAGUUCGAGUCUCUCAUCGCCCA